Molecule: transfer RNA, 102 nt
Filed under: Klebsiella grimontii
Lineage: Bacteria; Pseudomonadati; Pseudomonadota; Gammaproteobacteria; Enterobacterales; Enterobacteriaceae
Description: tRNA-Met
Rfam family: tRNA
About the family: Transfer RNA (tRNA) molecules are approximately 80 nucleotides in length.
Source: RNAcentral
CGCGGGGUGGAGCAGCCUGGUAGCUCGUCGGGCUCAUAACCCUGGUAGCUCGUCGGGCUCAUAACCCGAAGGUCGUCGGUUCAAAUCCGGCCCCCGCAACCA